This is a long non-coding RNA of Syzygium oleosum, 2613 nucleotides long. RefSeq lists it as uncharacterized. The record is from RefSeq and is a predicted model, not a curated record. NCBI's taxonomy places the organism in Eukaryota, Viridiplantae, Streptophyta, Magnoliopsida, Myrtales, Myrtaceae. The transcript has 3 exons.
UUGUCUCGACCCGCGAGAGUUUUUUUUUUUUUUUUUGGAAAACCAGACGGAGUAUUCGGAUAUAAAUUACCCGCCAUCAAUUAUGACAUCCAAACUGAAAUUUUCAAUUCUGGUGAUUAAUAUGCAAGCCAGAUCAAGCAACUGUGCAAGCCCAUUUCGCGGAUGAACACCGCAAGUAGCAGCCCGAGGGCAUCAUGAUCAUCUCCGUCGUCGUUGCCAUCGUCAAAGAAAAUGGCGAUGCCUAGGAUCGGGGCUCGGUGGAACCAUUCAAGAGUGAAAGCCGCACUCAUCUGGGUUGUCUGCUUUGUCCCGUUUCACUUUCUUUUUCGCACGGCUUCGCACAAUUCUUCACAGAGUCCCGCUCCAAAUCAGUCUUCCGGUCGUUCAUCAGGGAUGCUGCAUGGCCAUUGUUUGGACCAUGUUAUGAUGAAGGCAAGCUUUUGUUUAGCAUUCAAUCGCUUCCCUUGCAGCUGCAGUUUGGAAAUGCGUGUCGCUCGAGUUUCUCCUUCGUUCUAGGAAUCCUAUAAUCUGGUUUCAGAGCUCCUGUUUGCAUCAUCUUAGCAUGUUCCAGCCUCUGAGGAUGCAUCUUUGUUAGCACUCUGGUUUCAGAACUCCCGUUUGUAUCAUUUUAGCAUUUCCAGCCUCCGAAGACGAGGUAAUCUACGGUUCACGGGAUUUAAUUCUUGACAUUGAUUCUGCUUGGACUCGGUGCUGAUUUUUGCUAAACAGAUCGAAGUUGCAGAUAUUGGAUGCCCUUUGAAUCUUGGAUAGGGUGGUUUCGACUUCAGCUCAUGUGCUUCUUGGUUGCUGGCAGGUAACUUUGAAGUUUCAAUGUUUCGAGGUCUCUCCUCUCUGUCUCCCGCACGACUAAUCGCUAUUGGUGGCUAACUAUUUCUCAAAAUCUUUGAAAACUAUUAAUGGGUUACUGAAGAACCCUACUGAUGGUAUGAUGAUGCUGCUUAACAUAUGUUCAGGUCAUCUGAGGGACAGAUCCUAUCUCCAUUCGUGCAAAUAGAGACAAUUCUCGCCCUGUUCAACCUGCGAAGAAGGUACUAGGUGCAGCUCUUCCAUGUGGGUUAACAUCGGGUUGCGCUUCGUUGCUCGGUAUGCUUGUACAAUUGGGGAGUUGGUGGGACCUAUCAGAACGUUCGAUUGUCCACCAGGUUUUAAUGAUGGAAGUGACGUAUUGGUGCCUGGAGAUUGAGGAGAGCGGUCGCUUUGGUAUCGUAAAGGCAAGCUUUUGACCAUACGUAAGUAUGUAUAUCGAGAUGCUAGGUUAAUUCUAACUACGUUGGAUUCCCAAGACGGACAUUUUGAGUAGGGUUGUCAAAUGGGAGGAUCGGAUUUGUGUUGAGUCGAAAAUAAUCUGACUCAAAUUGGCUCAUUUAGCCCAUAUUGAUCAAUUUUUAUACAAUACAAUUUUGAUGACUCGUACUUGAAGUAACCUCGACUUAAUUUAUACCUGAUUCAUAUUACUAAAACACAUUCAUAAUUAACCCUCACUAAUAUAUACCCACCCAAUUAACCCACUUUAAGCUCUUCAUCUUAAUGUGUUAAUUAGAUAAAAUUUUAUAUCAAAUUAAAAAAUUAAAAUAACAAAAUGAAGAUGUAAGUAAAUAAACAAAAAUGUAAAAAAACAAAAAACCAAAAAAAUCAAAGAUGCCGAAGCCACCCUCGAAGAGCUUGAACGGGAAGACGAUCCGCUGCAGAUGCACAGUACCAGAGAUGCCCUCGAAGAUGCCAGAGCUGCUGGCACGACGAGGAAGGUAUCUUAGUAGGUGAGGCAGGGGCCUUGGACGGAGAUGUGCCCUUAGCCGCCGAAGUAUAAGCUGCAGAUGGCCUCGUAGUCGUAGCGGUCGUCGUCCUUUUCAAGGAGGUGCUGGAUGAGGACACAGACACCAAAGGUGACACCGAGGCGGCGCUGGAGAUCACCGGAGUAGAGCUUGUCGGUGAAGGGGAUGAGGUCGCCGAGGGAGUCGACAUUUUUCUGGCUCAACCACUGCUUCGGUUGUUGUCAAAGUGCUAAGCGACGGAUCGGCCGCCAUCUUCUGGUGGUUUGAUAAUGUAGAGUGUGGGUCGACCACAGCACCGCCGCCCUUGGCUCCAGAAGCGAAGACCUUUGUCUCAGGGUCCCCGAUGGGGAGGACAAGGUUGAUCACGCAGACGAUCGGGGCGAAUGUGGGCACGGUAGAAAGGGUGGCGUUACGGUUUUGCGGCGGUAAAUACGGUUGUGACGAGCGAGUGGAGUGAGGAGAGGGGGGGACGAUCGGGAGAGACGAAAGAGGGAGACAAGAGAAACCUGUUUUGCUGGGCUAAAUGGGUCAAAUAUGGAUCAUAAGCAAACCCAUCAUGAUAUGUUUUUUAGGCUUUCAUUUUCUUCUUAACCCAAUUAAGCCCAUUUAUAAAAAAAAAAAACGAGUUACCCAUAUAGUAUUGGGCCUCCUAAAUUGAGAUCCAUUUUGCCAGCCCUAGUUUGAGACGUGACGUCAUGAGAAUCCAACAUAGUGAGGGUCAACCUAGCACCAUUAUGAGCAUACUAUUAUUUGAUCAAAAACUUUUUUGUACAAUAUCCAAGCUAUCACUCUACUCAAUGGUCUAUAACCAUUGGCACCA